GUUAAGGUAGCAAAGCUCGGCCCUGCAAAAGACCUAAGCCCUUUGGACAGAGGUUCAAAUCCUCUCCUUAACU
This 73-nucleotide transfer RNA is filed under the name Sillago sp. 3 SS-2021. RNAcentral describes it as "tRNA-Leu". It matches the Rfam family "tRNA". Rfam says of the family: Transfer RNA (tRNA) molecules are approximately 80 nucleotides in length. Their secondary structure includes four short double-helical elements and three loops (D, anti-codon, and T loops). The record is from RNAcentral. Lineage: Eukaryota; Metazoa; Chordata; Actinopteri; Sillaginidae.